RNAcentral lists this ribosomal RNA (464 nucleotides) under uncultured bacterium. Its description in RNAcentral is "partial 16S ribosomal RNA". It matches the Rfam family "Bacterial small subunit ribosomal RNA", at positions 339 to 795 of the family's 1533-position model. The record is from RNAcentral.
CUACGGGUCGCUGCAGUGGGGAAUAUUGCACAAUGGGCGCAAGCCUGAUGCAGCCAUGCCGCGUGUAUGAAGAAGGACUUUGGGUUGUAACGUCCUUUCAGCGGGGAGGAAGGGAGUAAAGUUAAUACCUUUGCUCAUUGACGUUACCCGCAGAAGAAGCACCGGCUAACUCCGUGCCAGCAGCCGCGGUAAUACGGAGGGUGCAAGCGUUAAUCGGAAUUACUGGGCGUAAAGCGCACGCAGGCGGUUUGUUAAGUCAGAUGUGAAAUCCCCGGGCUCAACCUGGGAACUGCAUCUGAUACUGGCAAGCUUGAGUCUCGUAGAGGGGGGUAGAAUUCCAGGUGUAGCGGUGAAAUGCGUAGAGAUCUGGAGGAAUACCGGUGGCGAAGGCGGCCCCCUGGACGAAGACUGACGCUCAGGUGCGAAAGCGUGGGGAGCAAACAGGAUUAGAUACCCUAGUAGUC